This 631-nucleotide ribosomal RNA is filed under the name Graphiola cylindrica. Its description in RNAcentral is "LSU rRNA". It matches the Rfam family "Eukaryotic large subunit ribosomal RNA", at positions 43 to 662 of the family's 3401-position model. The record is from RNAcentral. Lineage: Eukaryota; Fungi; Basidiomycota; Exobasidiomycetes; Exobasidiales; Graphiolaceae.
UCAAUAAGCGGAGGAAAAGAAACUAACAAGGAUUCCCUUAGUAACGGCGAGUGAAGCGGGAAGAGCUCAAAUUUGAAAGCUGGCCGCAAGGUCCGCAUUGUAAUCUCGAGAAGUGUUUUCCGCGCUGGACCAUGGACAAGUUCCCUGGAAUGGGAUGUCAUAGAGGGUGAUAACCCCGUACUUGCUGUGGACGCCCAGUGCUUUGUGAUACACUUUCAAAGAGUCGAGUUGUUUGGGAAUGCAGCUCAAAAUGGGUGGUAAAUUCCAUCUAAAGCUAAAUAUUGGGGAGAGACCGAUAGCAAACAAGUACCGUGAGGGAAAGAUGAAAAGCACUUUGGAAAGAGAGUUAAACAGUACGUGAAAUUGUCAAAAGGGAAGCACUGGAAGUCAGACGUGCAUGCAGUAUUCAGCCUGGCUUCGGCUUGGUGUAUUUAUUGUUUUGCAGGCCAACAUCGAUUUUCGGCAACGGAUAAGGGUAUAGGGAAUGUGGCCUCUCCGGAGGUGUUAUAGCCCUGUACUGGAUACGUUGCUGGGGAUCGAGGAUCGCAGCGCCCCCGCAAGGGCAGGCCUUCGGGCACUUUGGCGCUUAGGAUGUUGGCGUAAUGGCUUUCAGUGACCCGUCUUGAAACAC